GACGAACGCUGGCGGCGUGCCUAAUACAUGCAAGUCGAACGAACCGCGACUAGGUGCUUGCACUUGGUCAAGGUGAGUGGCGAACGGGUGAGUAACACGUGGGUAACCUACCUCAUAGUGGGGGAUAACAGUCGGAAACGACUGCUAAUACCGCAUAGGACAUAGGAUCACAUGAUCCAGUGAGGAAAGGUGGCGCAAGCUAUCGCUAAGAGAUGGACCCGCGGUGCAUUAGCUAGUUGGUAGGGUAAAGGCCUACCAAGGCGAUGAUGCAUAGCCGACCGGAGAGGGUGAUCGGCCACAUUGGGACUGAGACACGGCCCAAACUCCUACGGGAGGCAGCAGUAGGGAAUCUUCCGCAAUGGACGCAAGUCUGACGGAGCAACGCCGCGUGAGUGAAGAAGGUCUUCGGAUCGUAAAGCUCUGUUGUUAGAGAAGAACAGCGCAUAGAGUAACUGUUAUGCGUGUGACGGUAUCUAACCAGAAAGCCACGGCUAACUACGUG
RNAcentral lists this ribosomal RNA (502 nucleotides) under uncultured bacterium. RNAcentral's name for it is "partial 16S ribosomal RNA". It matches the Rfam family "Bacterial small subunit ribosomal RNA", at positions 28 to 507 of the family's 1533-position model. The record is from RNAcentral.